Molecule: ribosomal RNA, 253 nt
Filed under: uncultured bacterium
Lineage: Bacteria
Description: partial 16S ribosomal RNA
Rfam family: Bacterial small subunit ribosomal RNA
Source: RNAcentral
UACGUAGGUGGCGAGCGUUGUCCGGAAUUACUGGGCGUAAAGGGUGCGUAGGCGGUUUUUUAAGUGGGAUGUGAAAUCCAUGGGCUUAACCCAUGAACUGCAUUCCAAACUGGAAAGCUAGAGUGCAGGAGAGGAAAGCGGAAUUCCCAGUGUAGCGGUGAAAUGCGUAGAUAUUGGGAGGAACACCAGUGGCGAAGGCGGCUUUCUGGACUGUAACUGACGCUGAGGCACGAAAGCGUGGGGAGCAAACAGG